RNAcentral lists this ribosomal RNA (433 nucleotides) under uncultured bacterium. RNAcentral's name for it is "partial 16S ribosomal RNA". It matches the Rfam family "Bacterial small subunit ribosomal RNA", at positions 29 to 507 of the family's 1533-position model. The record is from RNAcentral.
AACGAACGCUGGCGGCAUGCCUAACACAUGCAAGUCGAACGAGACCUUCGGGUCUAGGGGCGCACGGGUGCGUAACGCGUGGGAACCUGCCCUUAGGUUCGGAAUAACUCCCCGAAAGGGGUGCUAAUACCGGAUAAUGUCUUCGGACCAAAGAUUUAUCGCCUUUGGAUGGGCCCGCGUUGGAUUAGCUAGUUGGUAGGGUAAAAGCCUACCAAGGCGACGAUCCAUAGCUGGUCUGAGAGGAUGAUCAGCCACACUGGGACUGAGACACGGCCCAGACUCCUACGGGAGGCAGCAGUGGGGAAUAUUGGACGAUGGGCGAAAGCCUGAUCCAGCAAUGCCGCGUGAGUGAUGAAGGCCUUAGGGUUGUAAAGCUCUUUUACCCGGGAUGAUAAUGACAGUACCGGGAGAAUAAGCUCCGGCUAACUCCGUG